GGGUGACCGGCCCACACUGGGACUGAGACACGGCCCAGAUUCCUACGGGAGGCAGCAGUGGGGAAUAUUGCACAAUGGGCGAAAGCCUGAUGCAGCGACGCCGCGUGAGGGAUGACGGCCUUCGGGUUGUAAACCUCUUUCAGUAGGGAAGAAGCGAAAGUGACGGUACCUGCAGAAGAAGCGCCGGCUAACUACGUGCCAGCAGCCGCGGUAAUACGUAGGGCGCAAGCGUUAUCCGGAUUUAUUGGGCGUAAAGAGCUCGUAGGCGGUUUGUCGCGUCUGCCGUGAAAGUCCGAGGCUCAACCUCGGAUCUGCGGUGGGUACGGGCAGACUAGAGUGAUGUAGGGGAGACUGGAAUUCCUGGUGUAGCGGUGAAAUGCGCAGAUAUCAGGAGGAACACCGAUGGCGAAGGCAGGUCUCUGGGCAUUUACUGACGCUGAGGAGCGAAAGCAUGGGGAGCGAACAGGAUUAGAUACCCUGGUAGUCCAUGCCGUAAACGUUGGGCACUAGGUGUGGGGGACAUUCCACGUUUUCCGCGCCGUAGCUAACGCAUUAAGUGCCCCGCCUGGGGAGUACGGCCGCAAGGCUAAAACUCAAAGGAAUUGACGGGGGCCCGCACAAGCGGCGGAGCAUGCGGAUUAAUUCGAUGCAACGCGAAGAACCUUACCAAGGCUUGACAUGUGCCAGACCGCCUCAGAGAUGGGGUUUCCCUUCGGGGCUGGUUCACAGGUGGUGCAUGGUUGUCGUCAGCUCGUGUCGUGAGAUGUUGGGUUAAGUCCCGCAACGAGCGCAACCCUCGUUCCAUGUUGCCAGCACGUAGUGGUGGGGACUCAUGGGAGACUGCCGGGGUCAACUCGGAGGAAGGUGGGGAUGACGUCAAAUCAUCAUGCCCCUUAUGUCUUGGGCUUCACGCAUGCUACAAUGGCCGGUACAAUGGGUUGCGAUACUGUGAGGUGGAGCUAAUCCCUAAAAGCCGGUCUCAGUUCGGAUUGGGGUCUGCAACUCGACCCCAUGAAGUCGGAGUCGCU
RNAcentral lists this ribosomal RNA (1028 nucleotides) under Glutamicibacter arilaitensis. RNAcentral describes it as "bacterial SSU rRNA". It matches the Rfam family "Bacterial small subunit ribosomal RNA", at positions 298 to 1336 of the family's 1533-position model. The record is from RNAcentral. Lineage: Bacteria; Bacillati; Actinomycetota; Actinomycetes; Micrococcales; Micrococcaceae.